AAGGAGCAAAUUACUGUAAACUGUGGUCUUUUGCAAUUGCAGAAUAUCCUGCCUGCCAGGAUAGAGCACGUUGCUGGAGCAGUAUGGUCCCUUUACACAGGAGAAAAAAUAUCAGACAAACUCACACCAAGGACCAUCUUCUCUGUGGAUUAGAUUGUUCUGUGAGAAGCUGAGGACAUCUGCUGAUUCAUUUUGCCAGCCAGAACAAGUAUGU
Oxyura jamaicensis (ruddy duck) is the source of this 214-nucleotide long non-coding RNA. RefSeq lists it as uncharacterized. Lineage: Eukaryota; Metazoa; Chordata; Aves; Anseriformes; Anatidae. The transcript is spliced from 2 exons. The record is from RefSeq and is a predicted model, not a curated record.